AUAGCCGCCCGAAAGGACGGGUAAUACCGGAUACCCCGGGGUGCCGCAUGGCACCCCGGCUAAAGCCCCGACGGGAGGGGAUGGCUCCGCGGCCCAUCAGGUAGACGGCGGGGUGACGGCCCACCGUGCCGACAACGGGUAGCCGGGUUGAGAGACCGACCGGCCAGAUUGGGACUGAGACACGGCCCAGACUCCUACGGGAGGCAGCAGUGGGGAAUCUUGCGCAAUGGGGGGAACCCUGACGCAGCGACGCCGCGUGCGGGACGGAGGCCUUCGGGUCGUAAACCGCUUUCAGCAGGGAAGAGUCAAGACUGUACCUGCAGAAGAAGCCCCGGCUAACUACGUGCCAGCAGCCGCGGUAAUACGUAGGGGGCGAGCGUUAUCCGGAUUCAUUGGGCGUAAAGCGCGCGUAGGCGGCCCGGCAGGCCGGGGGUCGAAGCGGGGGGCUCAACCCCCCGAAGCCCCCGGAACCUCCGCGGCUUGGGUCCGGUAGGGGAGGGUGGAACACCCGGUGUAGCGGUGGAAUGCGCAGAUAUCGGGUGGAACACCGGUGGCGAAGGCGGCCCUCUGGGCCGAGACCGACGCUGAGGCGCGAAAGCUGGGGGAGCGAACAGGAUUAGAUACCCUGGUAGUCCCAGCCGUAAACGAUGGACACUAGGUGUGGGGGGACGAUCCCCCCGUGCCG
This 685-nucleotide ribosomal RNA is filed under the name uncultured bacterium. RNAcentral describes it as "partial 16S ribosomal RNA". It matches the Rfam family "Bacterial small subunit ribosomal RNA", at positions 143 to 848 of the family's 1533-position model. The record is from RNAcentral.